Molecule: ribosomal RNA, 423 nt
Filed under: Acinetobacter baumannii
Lineage: Bacteria; Pseudomonadati; Pseudomonadota; Gammaproteobacteria; Moraxellales; Moraxellaceae
Description: bacterial SSU rRNA
Rfam family: Bacterial small subunit ribosomal RNA
Source: RNAcentral
UUUAACUGAAGAGUUUGAUCAUGGCUCAGAUUGAACGCUGGCGGCAGGCUUAACACAUGCAAGUCGAGCGGGGGAAGGUAGCUUGCUACCGGACCUAGCGGCGGACGGGUGAGUAAUGCUUAGGAAUCUGCCUAUUAGUGGGGGACAACAUCUCGAAAGGGAUGCUAAUACCGCAUACGUCCUACGGGAGAAAGCAGGGGAUCUUCGGACCUUGCGCUAAUAGAUGAGCCUAAGUCGGAUUAGCUAGUUGGUGGGGUAAAGGCCUACCAAGGCGACGAUCUGUAGCGGGUCUGAGAGGAUGAUCCGCCACACUGGGACUGAGACACGGCCCAGACUCCUACGGGAGGCAGCAGUGGGGAAUAUUGGACAAUGGGGGGAACCCUGAUCCAGCCAUGCCGCGUGUGUGAAGAAGGCCUUAUGGUU